RNAcentral lists this ribosomal RNA (489 nucleotides) under Bacillus subtilis. RNAcentral's name for it is "bacterial SSU rRNA". It matches the Rfam family "Bacterial small subunit ribosomal RNA", at positions 939 to 1429 of the family's 1533-position model. The record is from RNAcentral. Lineage: Bacteria; Bacillati; Bacillota; Bacilli; Caryophanales; Bacillaceae.
AUGUGGUUUAAUUCGAAGCAACGCGAAGAACCUUACCAGGUCUUGACAUCCUUUGACCAUUCUAGAGAUAGGGCGUCCCCUUCGGGGGCAGAGUGACAGGUGGUGCAUGGUUGUCGUCAGCUCGUGUCGUGAGAUGUUGGGUUAAGUCCCGCAACGAGCGCAACCCUUGAUGUUAGUUGCCAUCAUUUAGUUGGGCACUUUAACAAGACUGCCGGUGACAAACCGGAGGAAGGUGGGGAUGACGUCAAAUCAUCAUGCCCCUUAUGACCUGGGCUACACACGUGCUACAAUGGGCAGUACAAAGGGUAGCGAAAUCGCGAGGUUAAGCCAAUCUCACAAAUCUUUUCUCAGUUCGGAUUGUAGUCUGCAACUCGACUGCGUGAAGCCGGAAUCGCUAGUAAUCGCGGAUCAGCAUGCCGCGGUGAAUACGUUCCCGGGCCUUGUACACACCGCCCGUCACACCACGAGAGUUUGUAACACCCGAAGUCG